RNAcentral lists this long non-coding RNA (227 nucleotides) under Lathyrus oleraceus (garden pea). RNAcentral's name for it is "Pisum sativum (pea) long non-coding RNA (PSAT_LNC014695)". The record is from RNAcentral. Lineage: Eukaryota; Viridiplantae; Streptophyta; Magnoliopsida; Fabales; Fabaceae.
AUGUUUUAAUGAUUAUCAUUAAUGAAGGACAUUUUUUGCAAUCAAACUUUGUGAUCCCUGUUUUUCUAUUUUUUGUUUUCACCUUUUUUCAAAACAAUAAAAACGGCAAUGUUUUUGUUUUUUGUGACUUUUUUUCGAACUCUUUUUCUAAAACAAAGCAUUAAACAUGCAGAAGCGAUCUUAUGGCAUUCACUAUGAACAGUUCUGUUAUGGCUCAGUAUGAUUUC